This 1040-nucleotide ribosomal RNA is filed under the name Escherichia coli. RNAcentral describes it as "partial 23S ribosomal RNA". It matches the Rfam family "Bacterial large subunit ribosomal RNA", at positions 524 to 1569 of the family's 2925-position model. Lineage: Bacteria; Pseudomonadati; Pseudomonadota; Gammaproteobacteria; Enterobacterales; Enterobacteriaceae. The record is from RNAcentral.
CCCCGGCGAGGGGAGUGAAAAAGAACCUGAAACCGUGUACGUACAAGCAGUGGGAGCCUCUUAAUGGGGUGACUGCGUACCUUUUGUAUAAUGGGUCAGCGACUUAUAUUCUGUAGCAAGGUUAACCGAAUAGGGGAGCCGAAGGGAAACCGAGUCUUAACUGGGCGUUAAGUUGCAGGGUAUAGACCCGAAACCCGGUGAUCUAGCCAUGGGCAGGUUGAAGGUUGGGUAACACUAACUGGAGGACCGAACCGACUAAUGUUGAAAAAUUAGCGGAUGACUUGUGGCUGGGGGUGAAAGGCCAAUCAAACCGGGAGAUAGCUGGUUCUCCCCGAAAGCUAUUUAGGUAGCGCCUCGUGAAUUCAUCUCCGGGGGUAGAGCACUGUUUCGGCAAGGGGGUCAUCCCGACUUACCAACCCGAUGCAAACUGCGAAUACCGGAGAAUGUUAUCACGGGAGACACACGGCGGGUGCUAACGUCCGUCGUGAAGAGGGAAACAACCCAGACCGCCAGCUAAGGUCCCAAAGUCAUGGUUAAGUGGGAAACGAUGUGGGAAGGCCCAGACAGCCAGGAUGUUGGCUUAGAAGCAGCCAUCAUUUAAAGAAAGCGUAAUAGCUCACUGGUCGAGUCGGCCUGCGCGGAAGAUGUAACGGGGCUAAACCAUGCACCGAAGCUGCGGCAGCGACACUAUGUGUUGUUGGGUAGGGGAGCGUUCUGUAAGCCUGUGAAGGUGGCCUGUGAGGGUUGCUGGAGGUAUCAGAAGUGCGAAUGCUGACAUAAGUAACGAUAAAGCGGGUGAAAAGCCCGCUCGCCGGAAGACCAAGGGUUCCUGUCCAACGUUAAUCGGGGCAGGGUGAGUCGACCCCUAAGGCGAGGCCGAAAGGCGUAGUCGAUGGGAAACAGGUUAAUAUUCCUGUACUUGGUGUUACUGCGAAGGGGGGACGGAGAAGGCUAUGUUGGCCGGGCGACGGUUGUCCCGGUUUAAGCGUGUAGGCUGGUUUUCCAGGCAAAUCCGGAAAACCAAGGCUGAGGCGUGAUGA